RNAcentral lists this transfer RNA (73 nucleotides) under Thermoflexales bacterium. RNAcentral's name for it is "tRNA-Gly". It matches the Rfam family "tRNA". From Rfam's summary of the family: Transfer RNA (tRNA) molecules are approximately 80 nucleotides in length. Their secondary structure includes four short double-helical elements and three loops (D, anti-codon, and T loops). Further hydrogen bonds mediate the characteristic L-shaped molecular structure. tRNAs have two regions of fundamental functional importance: the anti-codon, which is responsible for specific mRNA codon recognition, and the 3' end, to which the tRNAs corresponding amino acid is attached (by aminoacyl-tRNA synthetases). tRNAs cope with the degeneracy of the genetic code in two manners: having more than one tRNA (with a specific anti-codon) for a particular amino acid; and 'wobble' base-pairing, i.e. permitting non-standard base-pairing at the 3rd anti-codon position. Lineage: Bacteria; Bacillati; Chloroflexota; Thermoflexia; Thermoflexales. The record is from RNAcentral.
GCGGGUGUAGCGCAGUGGUAGCGCAAGUGCUUCCCAAGCACUGGGCCGUGGGUUCGAAUCCCAUCACCCGCUC